Molecule: long non-coding RNA, 1430 nt
Filed under: Heterocephalus glaber (naked mole-rat)
Lineage: Eukaryota; Metazoa; Chordata; Mammalia; Rodentia; Bathyergidae
Description: lncRNA (ENSHGLG00100034512.1)
Source: RNAcentral
CGCGUGGGGUGGGCGGGGCGGGGAGGGGAGGCACCUGGCGUCAUCCGGGCUUCUGGGCUAUGCAGUCUGUGGCCAAGGUCACACGCGUGCCGCAGCGUCGUCAGUUUCUCACUCUUUGAUCCUCUUGAGAUGCCACGUUGCGUCCUGGGACGUGUCCGCCCAGCUGCAGCCUUCCUCGUUGCAGGCGAGGCGGCGCAGCCCGGAAGCCGUGAGGAAGCAGGAGAGGGGGACCAGCUGUCAGACCUCAAGCCCAUCCACCCUUCCAUUCCUGGGACGGCCUUUAAGACUUCUCGCCCGAUUUUCACAGCAGCCUUACCAGAAGGUACUGCUGGAUCCAUUUUUCAGGGGAGCAAACCGAGGCUCAGAGAAGUGAAGACACCUGCCUGGGGUCACACAGCAUGGCGUGAGCCCAAGUGUAACACGCUGCCGCCUCCUCCUCACUACCCUCCUCCUGCCCCACAGGCCGCCCUGCUAGCCUUAUGCUCCACCGUGCGAACAACCCCACCUCCUCCGAGCUGAUGCAGUCCCCGUGCCCAUACUGCAGGAACUACACCAUUACGGUGACCUCCCCCGUCCCAGGACUGCUCACCUGGCUGCUGUGUGCCUGUCCCUUCAUGCUUGGGAGGAACAGUCCCCAUGGCUCCCUUCCUGGGUCUGGACUGCUCCUUCUGUCCCCACCAGCAGCCUGUGGCCAGCACAGGGUGAGGGCAAUUAACACGGUCAACAGUCAGUCACUGCGGCCGGAACUGUACCUGACACCUGCCUAGAACUCACCACCCUCAGACGAAACUGAGGCCACCUGCAAGCCAGCUCCAGCUUCCCUCCAGUACUCCCGCCGGCCAGAACCAUGCACCACAUCCAUCCUGGGCCACCCCACCCCGCUGUCACUUUCUCCAGGCACAUCACGAGCUCCUGGCACCCCCAGGACCUAGCAGGGACAGAGGCUGGGACAAAUCUUCCCGGGCCCUGGAAGGCUCCCCACUGGCCCAGGCCUAGCCCUUCAGCCCUUCACUUCUGCAGCCUUGCUGCACCACAGGCACUGCUGAGAAGGCACGAGGCCUCACAGUGGCUUCUGAAGGGGUAAAAGCUCUUGCGGGUAAAAGGAGGGUCUGUCUGGGGACCAGGACAGCAAGGAGGGUGAGACAAAGGACAAUCCAGUGUAACUGUCAGAUACCACCCGUCCUACUAGGGAUAGAAACCAGGACCUUGCAGGGAGGAGAGGGAUACGUAAGAAUUAAAAUGUACUAUGUACAUGGAUCAGCUCACCAUGAUGACUGCAAACAUGUACUGAUGAAAAAAAAGCAAGCAAGCCUUUGAGGAUGAUAGGCAAGUGCUUUACACUGAGGUAUAUCCCCAUCCUUCUCACCCUCCCUUUUUUUGUGUCGUACUGGGGAUGGAAUCCAGAGCCUUCACACUAAGCUAUAUCCCCA